Molecule: ribosomal RNA, 464 nt
Filed under: uncultured bacterium
Lineage: Bacteria
Description: partial 16S ribosomal RNA
Rfam family: Bacterial small subunit ribosomal RNA
Source: RNAcentral
ACGAACGCUGGCGGCGUGCUUAACACAUGCCAGUCGAACGGAAAGGCCCCUUUGGGGGUACUCGAGUGGCGAACGGGUGAGUAACACGUGAGUAACCUGCCCUUGACUUCGGGAUAACUUCAGGAAACUGGGGCUAAUACCGGAUAGGAAUCCUUGCUGCAUGGUGGGGGUUGGAAAGCUUCGGCGGUUUUGGAUGGACUCGCGGCUUAUCAGCUUGUUGGUGGGGUAGUGGCUUACCAAGGCUUUGACGGGUAGCCGGCCUGAGAGGGCGACCGGCCACAUUGGGACUGAGAUACGGCCCAGACUCCUACGGGAGGCAGCAGUGGGGAAUAUUGCACAAUGGGCGGAAGCCUGAUGCAGCAACGCCGCGUGCGGGAUGACGGCCUUCGGGUUGGAAACCGCUUUCAGCAGGGGCGAAGCUUGUGGUGACGGUACCUGCAGAAGAAGCACCGGCUAACUACGUG